UACGUAGGGGGGCAAGCGUUGUCCGGAAUCAUUGGGCGUAAAGCGCGUGUAGGCGGUCCGGUAAGUCCGCUGUGAAAGUCGGGGGCUUAACCCUCGGAUGCCGGUGGAUACUGUCGGGCUUGAGUACGGAAGAGGCGAGUGGAAUUCCUGGUGUAGCGGUGAAAUGCGCAGAUAUCAGGAGGAACACCAAUUGCGAAGGCAGCUCGCUGGGACGUUACUGACGCUGAGACGCGAAAGCGUGGGGAGCAAACAGGAUAG
RNAcentral lists this ribosomal RNA (258 nucleotides) under uncultured bacterium. Its description in RNAcentral is "partial 16S ribosomal RNA". It matches the Rfam family "Bacterial small subunit ribosomal RNA", at positions 524 to 780 of the family's 1533-position model. The record is from RNAcentral.